UGAUUGCCUAGUAACGGCGAGUGAAGAGGCAAAAGCUCAAGUUUGGAAGCUCAAUGGUUUAACCAUUGCGCAUUGUAAACUGAAAACAGGAUCAAUCAGGUACACCGGGUGAUAAGUUCCUUGGAAUAGGACAUCAUGGAGGGUGAGAAUCCCGUCUUUGACCCGAGUCUAGUAUCUUUUGUAUUGGCCUGUUCAAGAGUCAGGUUGUUUGGGAAUGCAGCCUAAAGCUGGAGGUAAAUCCCUCCUGAAGCUAAAUAAUGGCGAGAGACCGAUAGCGAACAAGUACCGUGAGGGAAAGAUGAAAAGAACUCUGAAGAGAGAGUUAAACAGUACGUGAAAUUGCUUAAAGGGAAGCAUAUAAAGCUAGGAUGCGAUUGUUUUCUUCAGGUUGAGCUUUGGCUUGACUGUUCAGAAGGAUAAUCCGAGACAACAAGAAUUGGAAGAGAAGAAUAAGCCAUUGGGGAAGGUAAUCCUUCGGGAUGUUUAUAGACCUGAUGGUUCGCGCUUUUCUUUCGAUUGAGGUACGCUUUUUUAAAGGUUGUUGUCUGAAUGGCUUUAUAUGGCCCGUCUUGAAACACGGACCAAGGAGUCCACCUAAUGUGCGAGUAUUUGGGAGGUAAACCCAUAUGCGCAAUGAAAGUGACUAACCUAUGAGGGGGGUCCUUCGGGGCCUCUGCAAUAGGAUCGGGCAGGGACGUUUUAUACUGAACUGACUCAGAUAAAGCACAUUGGAUGGGACCCGAAAGAUGGUGAACUAUGCUUGGAUAGGGUGAAGCCAAAGGAAACUUUGGUGGAGGCUCGUAGCGAUUCUGACGUGCAAAUCGAUCGUCGAAUCUGAGCAUAGGGGCGAAAGACUAAUCGAACCAUCUAGUAGCUGGGUCCUGCCGAAGU
This 891-nucleotide ribosomal RNA is filed under the name Syncephalastrum racemosum. RNAcentral's name for it is "LSU rRNA". It matches the Rfam family "Eukaryotic large subunit ribosomal RNA", at positions 72 to 967 of the family's 3401-position model. Lineage: Eukaryota; Fungi; Mucoromycota; Mucoromycetes; Mucorales; Syncephalastraceae. The record is from RNAcentral.